GACAUAGGUGGCGAACGUUAUCCGGAAUUAUUGGGCGUAAAGGGCGCGUAGGCGGCCUGGCAAGUGGAAGGUGAAAUCCCUCGGCUUAACCGAGGAACUGCCCUCCAAACUGCUUGGCUUGAGUCCGGGAGAGGUGAGUGGAAUUCCCAGUGUAGCGGUGAAAUGCGUAGAUACUGGGAGGAACACCAGUGGCGAAGGCGGCUACCUGGACCGGUUCUGACGCUGAGGCGCGAAAGCGUGGGUAGCAAACAGG
This 253-nucleotide ribosomal RNA is filed under the name uncultured bacterium. Its description in RNAcentral is "partial 16S ribosomal RNA". It matches the Rfam family "Bacterial small subunit ribosomal RNA", at positions 524 to 776 of the family's 1533-position model. The record is from RNAcentral.